This 70-nucleotide small nucleolar RNA is filed under the name Pelodiscus sinensis (Chinese soft-shelled turtle). Its description in RNAcentral is "Small nucleolar RNA U2-30 (ENSPSIG00000020223.1)". The record is from RNAcentral. Lineage: Eukaryota; Metazoa; Chordata; Testudines; Trionychidae.
GAGCAAUGAUGAACCUUCGUUUUGCCUGACUGUUCAAAUCAUGAAGGUUUCUACACUUGAACUGAGCUCA